RNAcentral lists this ribosomal RNA (119 nucleotides) under Pteropus alecto (black flying fox). The record is from RNAcentral. Lineage: Eukaryota; Metazoa; Chordata; Mammalia; Chiroptera; Pteropodidae.
GUCUACGGCCAUGCCACCCUGAAUAUGCCCAAUCUCGUCUGAUCUUGGAAGCCAAGCAGGGUCGGGCCUGGUUAGUACUUGGAUGGGAGACCACCUAGGAAGACCAGGUGCUGUAGGCG